GUGGGGGAUAACGCCGCGAAAGCGGCGCUAAUACCGCAUAUUCUCUCUGGAGGAAAGCGGGGGACCUGCAAGGGCCUCGCGCUCGCGGAGCGGCCGAUGUCCGAUUAGCUUGUUGGUGGGGUAAAGGCUUACCAAGGCGACGAUCGGUAGCUGGUCUGAGAGGAUGAUCAGCCACACUGGGACUGAGACACGGCCCAGACUCCUACGGGAGGCAGCAGUGGGGAAUUUUGGACAAUGGGGGCAACCCUGAUCCAGCCAUGCCGCGUGCGGGAAGAAGGCCUUCGGGUUGUAAACCGCUUUUGGCCGGGAAGAAAAGGUUCAGGCGAAUACCCUGGAUUUUUGACGGUACCGGCAGAAUAAGCACCGGCUAACUACGUGCCAGCAGCCGCGGUAAUACGUAGGGUGCGAGCGUUAAUCGGAAUUACUGGGCGUAAAGCGUGCGUAGGCGGUUCGUUGUGUCUGUGGUGAAAGCCCCGGGCUUAACCUGGGAAUGGCCAUGGAAACUGGCGAGCUGGAGUGUGGCAGAGGAGGGUGGAAUUCCG
This 542-nucleotide ribosomal RNA is filed under the name uncultured bacterium. Its description in RNAcentral is "bacterial SSU rRNA". It matches the Rfam family "Bacterial small subunit ribosomal RNA", at positions 136 to 671 of the family's 1533-position model. The record is from RNAcentral.